Molecule: long non-coding RNA, 1309 nt
Filed under: Sus scrofa (pig)
Lineage: Eukaryota; Metazoa; Chordata; Mammalia; Artiodactyla; Suidae
Description: lncRNA (ENSSSCG00060064983.1)
Source: RNAcentral
AGCAAGCGAGCGAGCGUGUCCUCCUUCCGCCUCCCUCUCUUCCGUCGUCCGCACUGGGCUGGGGCGGCGGCGCCUGAGCGGUUCCCUCGCGAGCCUGUGCGGACCUAGCCGCUGGAGAAGAGGAGGAGCAGCCCGGGCGGGGCGGAGACGCUUGCGGGCUCCUCUCAGUCACUUCAGCCAAUCAACAGCCAGAACCGAUGGUUGCGUAGUGUCCCCACCCCCUCGGGCACGCCUCUCUUCGAUAAGCCACGCCCAACUGCCCUCCAGCCGCCUUCCCUUUCGGCGGUUUCCGCGCGGUCCUAAUGUGUGGUGGCUGACCGCGGGCUGGGGUGGGGAAGGACGCGGUAGGACUGUAGGAGAUGGCUAGGUGUGCUAGAGCGCGGCAAGGCGCUGCUGAGACCCGCGUGUGCGGAGGGAAGUGGGGAACUGCCCCUUUUCCAAGGGCCUGAACACAGCUUUUGACUACUGACUGUCCUGUUCUGCCUUCCUCUUCGCGUGGGCCACCGCCCCACAGCGCCGCUGGGUUCCCUUCGCGGCCGCAUGGUACGCGUCCCGGGAGCGAAGCUUCCCCUGGGGGGAGCGCGCUAACCUGAGCUCCUUCGGUGCACCGCCCUGCCGACUGUCUGGAAGUCAGCAAUGGGAUAUUCCCACCACAACUUUACCGGGAUCUCUGGGUUGACUCUCUGGGUUGAGGAUCGGGGAGCUGGGUCGGGAGGCUGGCUUGUGGCUGUGGUUGAGGGGCCCGGACGCCUCGAAAGCAGGAGGGUGCCCAGGCGAAGUGCAGGCUGCACCAUGCAAUCUUCCGGGCGCAGAGGCGACCCAACCCGACCUGAGGGAGAUCCACGGGCUCUGGGCCGAGGGGAGACGCAGUGGAAUGAACUGAACUGCUGGUCCACAAGAACAGUUUUUCUAUCAAAGGAUACCAUCAAAUUCUGGAGAAGUUCUACAAAUCAUAAUCUAUUUCCCUUUUUCCAGAAAGGCAACUUGAUUCGGGGGGAUAUGGCAGCUUCCACUCUGAGGUGCCCUUACUUCAAAUCAGGCCCAGCCCAAGAUCGUGUUUUCCCUAAGCUGGGCUCAUCAUCAGAGAGGUGGGGGCCGGGCCAAAUCUUAAAGAGCCACUUGGCGACUCUAACGACUGGCAAAGAGGAAAGAAAUUGGAAUUCUAGUAGCAUGUAUCCAACUGUUUCAAACCUCCACCUGCUACAUGGGCGUGGCUUCUGAGAUCGACAUGCUUCCAACAGCUUAUACAGAGUGAACGGCAGAUGCGUCCUUUGGGGGUGAUCUCAGGGACGUCAGAAAGUCCCUGCCU